AAAAGAUUAUACUACUUCUAACUACAUGCCAUAUGAUUACUUAAGUUGAAAGAAAUUCCCCAAAUCAAAUCAGCUGGUGGUAAGAGAGGUGGAUUAAGCUGGAAAAUGUAGAAAUUUGUGUGACUGUGUGUUAUUUUAUCCAAACAUAAACUUCACUCAUGAACCCCCAAAGCAGGGUCUCAUUUCCAUUUGGAAAAUUGCAAUUGGUGUUUUUCUCGUUGUCUGUUUUGGUUCUUAUGAAAAGAAAGUGGAAAAAUGGCCUGAUGAGGUGGCAUAACGCAUCAAUCCACACUCCGUCUCUGACUGUUCUCCCCACAGCGGUCAGUCCACAAAGUCUCUAACACUUGCUGCUAUUAAUAAAAGCUGAAGAAAAUGAUGCCUUUGUCUGAAGACAUUAGCAGGAUUGUGGUUGUGUUCCAAAGGACUGGAGGCUGAGAGGAGGGUGUGAGAAGGCCAGUUGCCCAGGGCACCAACCUAAAGAGUUGCUAAAUUUAAGGGGGAAGGCACCCAGCCAGCCAUCAAUGAGCCACAAUUGCUCUGUCGCCAAUCUAGGUGUCCGUGUUGCUUGAAAUAGUUCUGCUUACUUUAAGCUGUUCUACCACAUGUGCUCAGAAAUUCUAAAGACCAUUUACACACUUUAUUGAAGCGAGUUUUUAAAAAUUGGACAUGCAGUCUUGCUCUAUACUCAUGUUAAUGACUACUUUAGAAUUAAAGUUAUUAAGACGUCUCAACAUUUUGAAUUUAAACCAGGAAACCAGCACCAUCUCCUGCCUCCCCUGACCCCCAAACCCUCCACAAUAGAAAAAAUAGUUUUCCUAUUUAGUUCUUAUUUGAGGAUACUGCAGUGUUUCAGCAUCCUGGCUGAACGGUAAAAUCACCUAAAAAUCUGAGCCACAUCAGAGUCCAAUUGAAACAGACCUCUGCGGGUAGGUCCCAGGAAUUUAUAUGUCCUAAGUGCUCCCGGCGUGAUUCUGAUACUCAGUGAGGGUUGAAUGAGAACCAGGUGGUAAUGGCUUCUCUUAUACUCUCAGCAUUUAGCUCACAUCUGAAACACCUGGAGGGCUUGUGAAAACAGAUCGUUGAGCCCUGCUCCCAGAGUUUCAGACUGAGUAGGUCUGGGAUGGAGAAUUUCCAUUUCCGUCAAGUUCCAGUGCCUGUCGAUGCUGCUCCAGGGACCACACUUUGAGAACCACCUCUCUAAUAUCUAACCACCUCUAACGAUCCUGACUCAUUCUGCAUAUCCUAAGGAGAACCACAACAACCUAACUUCAACUCCCUAAAGAAAUAAGAAUUAGAAGGAAUGGGGUUUCAGAGACUCGAAAGACUGAACUACUGGGGCUUGAGGAAAAAGGGAUUUGCUUGUGUCUAGGAGAGACUGUGUUCAGGGCUAUCUACGAUGGGGGUGGAGGGAAAGGUGGAAACAUUUAUCCAAUGCUUGCUGUCUCCCAUUGGUCAAAAGAGGUCCGGGAAUGUGAAAGCCCCUGCACUGCAGUUGUGUGUGUUUGGGGGGUUGGGGCGGGAGUGAAGAGGUGCCCAGGAGGGCCCCAAAGAGGCAGGGCACCUCAGAUGGCGGUGAGUGCCUGUGGCACAGGCAGGCUACCCCUGGGGAGCCGUCAGAGUCAUGCACUGCUGGCACAAGAUACAUCAGGGCUGGGAGGCUCCGGCUGGUACGGAAGAGGCGUGUGAUUUGGUUUCAGGGAGGGGCCAUGGAUGCCAGCGGAGUGGUCCAUAGUGCCCACCGCAGAACUCUCGGUCGCUUGUGUGACAGGAAUCUACACGUAAAAUAAAAACCAGCCACAAAAUCCUAAUAAGCCAUUUGUUUCAAAGUUCUCUCCAGAUUUACUAGCUCUGCAAAUUCAAUAGAUGGAGGCAGGCACCCGCUUUGUUCAUAGUGCCCAUCCAUACUGCAGGAGACCUUAGCGAGCACUAGAAAGACCCCAGAGCGCAAUGGGAAGGUGGGCUCUGGUUAUCAAGGAACGGGAUAACUGUCUUCUGGAUUAGUGAAAGUGGGUACGACGGAGAUGGAGAAGUGGAAUUCAAAGGUUGUUUUAGAAGGAUCCGAUGGGAGUCACUAUUCCUCGGCAGCACAAUUAAAUUUUUAGCCACGUAUAUUUGCAAACACUUUAAAAGGGAACCCCGUGGGCAGUGAGAAAUGAACUGGUCUAGGAGUCAGAAAACCUUCGAGUCCUGAUUUUGUUGAUAAUUAGUGACACGUAGUCAAGGCACUCUGACUUCCUGAGUCUCCCUGUCUUCUUACAAAACGAUGAUCACUAAAGUCAGCCCUGACAAAUAUUCUGCGAAACAGCGAUGAAGAAUCUGAUGUUAGGUCCCAGAUUAGCCUUGAGCUAACAUCUGCUGCCAAUCCUCCUCUUUUUGCUGAGAAAGACUGGCCCUGAGAUAACAUCGUGCCCACCUUCCUCUACUUUAUAGCUGGGAUGCCUCCCACAGCAUGGCGUGCAAAGUGGUGCCAUGUCCGCACCCGGGGUCUGAACCGGCGAACCCUGGGCCACCAAAGUGGAACGUGCACACUUAACCACUGUGCCACCGGGCUGGGCCCCCAAGUCCACUUUUAAAUAACACUAUACUACUUCAUGGGUGUUGUAAAUACCUUAUAAUAACAAAAUAACAGUAAUUCCUCUCUCUUUUCCCUUGUAUCAUUACUGUCGUUUACUUCACUGAUACAGAAGCAUAUAAAUAUAUAUAAGCAUACAUUGUUGGUAUUGUUACUUAGAACAAAUUGUUGUCUUUUAGACCAAUUAAGAAUAAAGAAAAUAAAA
Long non-coding RNA from Equus asinus (donkey), 2777 nucleotides. Lineage: Eukaryota; Metazoa; Chordata; Mammalia; Perissodactyla; Equidae. The record is from Ensembl.